This 300-nucleotide unclassified non-coding RNA is filed under the name uncultured fungus. RNAcentral's name for it is "sequence contains 5.8S rRNA gene, ITS2". The stretch from base 1 to 70 matches the Rfam family "5.8S ribosomal RNA", at positions 84 to 154 of the family's 154-position model. Lineage: Eukaryota; Fungi. The record is from RNAcentral.
GUGAAUCAUCGAAUCUUUGAACGCACCUUGCGCCCUCUGGUAUUCUGGAGGGCACGCCUGUUUGAUGGCGCGAAACAAAAGCCUUUGGUAGUUUAUGAAGUGUCAAGCUGAUUAAAUUUUCAAAUGGCGUUCGUGGAUGCUGGUUGUACAAUUUAUUGUAUAACUCUUCCCGGUAGUACAUCUACCUGGUCAUCCGAAAUACAGUCAGAUAGUGUUGUCUUUCUGCAGCUCAUAGUUUCAUGACUAUACGCUCAACUGUAGCCAGUUUCAUAAAUACCUUGUGGGUUUUCUUGCUACUAG